RNAcentral lists this ribosomal RNA (225 nucleotides) under Triticum aestivum (bread wheat). RNAcentral's name for it is "partial small subunit ribosomal RNA". The record is from RNAcentral. Lineage: Eukaryota; Viridiplantae; Streptophyta; Magnoliopsida; Poales; Poaceae.
AUGGACGCGGCUCACUGCGAGGGAGGUCCUGGACGUGCUCGGAACCGCGGGGAGGCAUCGGUGGUGGAGAUCGACGGCGAUGGCGCCGUGGCCGUGGCGGGGAAGACGACUGGAUGGCGAGGUUCUGGAGGGCUUCAGCUCGAACUGGAGGUUGUAGGCGAUGCAGAUGUUGGCGAUGAAGCUCCUAGUCAUCUUCCCGAGCGCCGAGGAGCAUGGUGGCCAUGA